RNAcentral lists this unclassified non-coding RNA (329 nucleotides) under soil metagenome. RNAcentral describes it as "partial contains 5.8S ribosomal RNA, internal transcribed spacer 2, and large subunit ribosomal RNA". The stretch from base 1 to 120 matches the Rfam family "5.8S ribosomal RNA", at positions 35 to 154 of the family's 154-position model. The record is from RNAcentral.
GAUGAAGAACGCAGCGAAAUGCGAUAAGUAGUGUGAAUUGCAGAAUUCAGUGAAUCAUCGAAUCUUUGAACGCACAUUGCGCCCCUUGGUAUCCCGAGGGGCAUGCCUGUUCGAGCGUCAUUUCACCACUCAAGCCUGGCUUGGUGUUGGGCGACGUCCCCUUUAGGGACGCGCCUCGAAACGCUCGGCGGCGCGGCACCGGCUUUAAGCGUAGCAGAAUCUUUCGCUUUGGAAGUCGGGGCCACGCCUGCCGGAAUAACUACUUGUAAGGUUGACCUCGGAUCAGGCAGGGAUACCCGCUGAACUUAAGCAUAUCAAUAAGCGGAGGA